CCGGCGGUGGGGCCAGAGGGGCUGUCCCUCGUGCUUGUUGGAGGGUCCCAUGGGGAGCAGACCCCUGAAACCCCGAGUCCAAGCACAGGCUCCCGUGGGGCUCCUGGCGGGGCGAGGUCACAGGGGCCUGAUGAAGAGUUAGGGGCCUGUGAGCCCGUGUGCCGCACGCCUGCCCACACGCCCACACACACGCACAUGCACACACACGCACCUCGCCUUCCUCUGGGCCCUGCCAGCUCUCUGCGGACUGUCUCUCUUCCGGAGCCUGUGUCCUGUGCCGGGGGAGUUGGGAUGUCUGCAGGGAGGGCCCUCAGCAGGAAGUCCACACGGACCGGACGGGCCUCCCGGAAGCACCUGGAUGGUGUGUCAGCACAGAGGAGACGAGGGGACUCUGCGAGCCUGGUGCUGAGUUCCCUGGAACCUUCACCUGCCCUUUCUGGGGCAGGUGACCUUUGCUGGGGCUUCCCUUCCUUGAGAGCCACCGCGGGGGCUCCCUGUGUGGGCUGGGCAUGGACGGCCACUUCUACCCCUCCUGGGAGGAUGCUGGGGCCACGGCCCUGGGUCUGAGUGAGCUGCUGAGCCCCAUCACUGGCCAGAAGCCGCUGGGCUCCAGCUCCCGGUUUCCUCUUGUGCCCUGCCACCCAGGGAGACCCCCAGCAAGCAGGUGUCAGCCAUGCCAGGGUUGGGGGAGGACUGACAGCCCCAAGGGCUGCGUCCAGCUUCUGUGUCUGCUGGCAGGAGCAGACAGGGCACCUGGGCCUCUCCAGCAGCAUUGCCACAUGGCCUUGUCCCUGUCCUGGGAGAAGGCGGAGGGUCUGGGGCGCUGGAUCCUUACACAACCUGGUGUGUAACAGAAAGGCCCGGUGUGUAAGCAAAAGCUGUUGAUCGCAUAGCCAUGGUAGGUAAUCCACAUUGGAUGUCAAUAAGGACCAUGGGGAAAUAUUUAAAAAAGAGAGAAAAGUAUAUAUAUAUAUAUAUAAAAUUAUAUACACAUUUUAUCGUACAGACUUUUCGUAACUCUUUUCCUGUUGGGUACUGUCAGCCUCUUAGAGCAGAGCAGCCGUCGAGGGCAGGGCAGUGGGAACCUGUCGCCACCCCGCCUGGCUCCUCAGGCACCAGCUCGCAGCCCGAGGUGGGAGGCCCGGUCGCCUCCCGCUGCCCUUGGUCUCCCCUCCUGCCCAUCUGACUUGGGUCCCGCAGAUGGCCUGGGCACCUGGGCGCACCCCCUGCCCACCCUGGCCGGCUGUCCUGCCCAGUGGCCGCCCCGGGUUCACAGAGCGCCCCGUCCCGUGGGGUGCAGGUGGGCGAGUGCUGGCUGGGGCCUCGGAGGAGCUGUCCCCGCAGCUGCCCAUUGCCCUCCCGGGAUCAGGGGCCAGGGAAGGAAGACUGGCUCGCUCCCUCCUGCUUUUCUUUUUGGAUCAUUGAGAUGUCAUUGUCACAAUUUUAAUAUAUGGGUUUUUUAUUUAAGACAAAAGGCAGGGACGUCUUUGUGGCGUGGGUUUGUCCUCCUGUGCUUCUGACUCACGAGUCCCUGACACCCGCAGGGCCUGGCCCCCCGGGGGACGGGGCCUCCCCUUCGUAAGCUCGGCACCCACCGGUUUUCCCCGCCUCUGCCUGCCCAGCAGUUUCAUUUCAAUAUUUAUUUUUGUGCUGCUUUUAUCAUGAUAUAAAUUAUUGAGAAGAGACCUUAUGUCGUGGCCCACACCUGCCCUGUCCCCUCACGGCCACCACCUAAUUUAUUGCUGUACAUCUCUGCUGUGACGCUUUUGUACCUUUGCAAUAAAGACUUUUCUGGUUUCA
Long non-coding RNA from Equus caballus (horse), 1800 nucleotides. The record is from Ensembl. Lineage: Eukaryota; Metazoa; Chordata; Mammalia; Perissodactyla; Equidae.